AGUGAUGGAAAUGCAGCCUCUGGGGUGAUGCCUUGGCAGGGACAGGAGCCCUGUUGGACAGUCAGCAGAGAGGGCACGUGCUCCCUUCUCCCUCCAGUGAUCCUCAGCUGCAAACUAACCAGACAUCAGGUCUCCUGCUGCCACUGAUGACCCAAAGUUUCCACUGUUCUGAAAGACAGACAGUUCCCUCUCCCUGACUGAGAGCCAGCAGGGCACACCAGGAUGGGAGGUUGGUGCAGUGUUUUCCCUGGUUCACUGAACCAUUUAAAGCAGGUCCAACAUGGCACUGUGAACCCCCCCAAACUCUUUAGCCCAGAUGCUGUGACACAUCAGUGAGCACUUCUCUGCCACGGCAGUGGGAGAUGGAGAAGAGCAGAGCUCACUCAGGCUCUUACCUAGUGCCAGUGAAAGUUUACCUUCAAGAAUCCAUUUAUCAUACUCAGGAAAUCAUUCCAUGUAUGCUCAGAUGA
This is a long non-coding RNA of Chiroxiphia lanceolata (lance-tailed manakin), 470 nucleotides long. RefSeq lists it as uncharacterized. The transcript has 4 exons. The record is from RefSeq and is a predicted model, not a curated record. Lineage: Eukaryota; Metazoa; Chordata; Aves; Passeriformes; Pipridae.